This 253-nucleotide ribosomal RNA is filed under the name uncultured bacterium. RNAcentral's name for it is "partial 16S ribosomal RNA". It matches the Rfam family "Bacterial small subunit ribosomal RNA", at positions 524 to 776 of the family's 1533-position model. The record is from RNAcentral.
UACGGGGGGUGCAAGCGUUGUUCGGAUUUAUUGGGCGUAAAGCGCGUGUAGGCGGUUUGUUAAGUCUGUUGUGAAAGCCCUGGGCUCAACCCGGGAAGUGCACUGGAUACUGGCAAACUUGAAUACGGGAGAGGAGAGUGGAAUUCCUGGUGUAGGAGUGAAAUCCGUAGAUAUCAGGAGGAACACCGGUGGCGAAGGCGGCUCUCUGGACCGAUAUUGACGCUGAGACGCGAAAGCGUGGGUAGCAAACAGG